CAGUAGCCACGUAAUACAGAGGGUGCAAGCGUUAAUCGGAAUUACUGGGCGUAAAGCGCGCGUAGGUGGUUUGUUAAGUUGGAUGUGAAAUCCCCGGGCUCAACCUGGGAACUGCAUCCAAAACUGGCAAGCUAGAGUAUGGUAGAGGGUGGUGGAAUUUCCUGUGUAGCGGUGAAAUGCGUAGAUAUAGGAAGGAACACCAGUGGCGAAGGCGACCACCUGGACUGAUACUGACACUGAGGUGCGAAAGCGUGGGGAGCAAACAGGAUUAGAUACCCCAGUAGUCCCUGUCUCUUAUACC
RNAcentral lists this ribosomal RNA (301 nucleotides) under uncultured bacterium. RNAcentral describes it as "partial 16S ribosomal RNA". It matches the Rfam family "Bacterial small subunit ribosomal RNA", at positions 509 to 808 of the family's 1533-position model. The record is from RNAcentral.